Molecule: unclassified non-coding RNA, 190 nt
Filed under: uncultured Chaetothyriaceae
Lineage: Eukaryota; Fungi; Ascomycota; Eurotiomycetes; Chaetothyriales; Chaetothyriaceae
Description: sequence contains ITS1
Source: RNAcentral
CCGAGUUAGGGUCGCCCCCGCGCGCCCGACCUCCAACCCUUUGUCUACCUGACCUUUAAUGUUGCUUCGGCAGGCCCGCCGCAAGGCCGCCGGGGGUCCUCCGUGACCCCGGGCCCGCGCCUGUCGAUGGCCCUUAUUAAAACUCUUGUUUAAUAAACGUGUCGUCUGAGUUAACAAACAAAAUAAAUUA